UGGCGGCGUGCUUAACACAUGCAAGUCGAACGAUGAAGCCCAGCUUGCUGGGUGGAUUAGUGGCGAACGGGUGAGUAACACGUGAGUAACCUGCCCCCGACUUUGGGAUAAGCCCGGGAAACUGGGUCUAAUACCGGAUAUGACUUCCUGCCGCAUGGUGGGUUGUUGAAAGAUUUAUCGGUGGGGGAUGGACUCGCGGCCUAUCAGCUUGUUGGUGAGGUAAUGGCUCACCAAGGCGACGACGGGUAGCCGGCCUGAGAGGGUGACCGGCCACACUGGGACUGAGACACGGCCCAGACUCCUACGGGAGGCAGCAGUGGGGAAUAUUGCACAAUGGGCGGAAGCCUGAUGCAGCGACGCCGCGUGAGGGAUGACGGCCUUCGGGUUGUAAACCUCUUUCAGUAGGGAAGAAGCGAAAGUGACGGUACCUGCAGAAGAAGCGCCGGCUAACUACGUGCCAGCAGCCGCGGUAAUACGUAGGGCGCAAGCGUUAUCCGGAUUUAUUGGGCGUAAAGAGCUCGUAGGCGGUUUGUCGCGUCUGCCGUGAAAGUCCGAGGCUCAACCUCGGACCUGCGGUGGGUACGGGCAGACUAGAGUGAUGUAGGGGAGACUGGAAUUCCUGGUGUAGCGGUGAAAUGCGCAGAUAUCAGGAGGAACACCGAUGGCGAAGGCAGGUCUCUGGGCAUUUUCUGACGCUGAGGAGCGAAAGCAUGGGGAGCGAACAGGAUUAGAUACCCUGGUAGUCCAUGCCGUAAACGUUGGGCACUAGGUGGUUGGACA
This 780-nucleotide ribosomal RNA is filed under the name uncultured Arthrobacter sp. Its description in RNAcentral is "bacterial SSU rRNA". It matches the Rfam family "Bacterial small subunit ribosomal RNA", at positions 37 to 830 of the family's 1533-position model. The record is from RNAcentral. Lineage: Bacteria; Bacillati; Actinomycetota; Actinomycetes; Micrococcales; Micrococcaceae.